Molecule: small nuclear RNA, 151 nt
Filed under: Propithecus coquereli (Coquerel's sifaka)
Lineage: Eukaryota; Metazoa; Chordata; Mammalia; Primates; Indriidae
Description: U1 spliceosomal RNA (ENSPCOG00000000419.1)
Rfam family: U1 spliceosomal RNA
About the family: U1 is a small nuclear RNA (snRNA) component of the spliceosome (involved in pre-mRNA splicing). Its 5' end forms complementary base pairs with the 5' splice junction, thus defining the 5' donor site of an intron. There are significant differences in sequence and secondary structure between metazoan and yeast U1 snRNAs, the latter being much longer (568 nucleotides as compared to 164 nucleotides in human).
Source: RNAcentral
AUACUUACCUGGCAGAGGAGCCACCAUGAUCACGAAGGUGAUUUUCCCAGGGUGAGGCUCUUCCAUUGCACUCUGGAUGUGCUGACAUCUGCAGUUUCCUCAAAUGUGGGAAACUUGACUGCAUUUGUGCUUUCCCUUGGGGGAAAAAAUG